Molecule: ribosomal RNA, 425 nt
Filed under: uncultured bacterium
Lineage: Bacteria
Description: partial 16S ribosomal RNA
Rfam family: Bacterial small subunit ribosomal RNA
Source: RNAcentral
GUGGGGAAUCUUAGACAAUGGGGGCAACCCUGAUCUAGCCAUGCCGCGUGAUCGAUGAAGGCCUUAGGGUUGUAAAGAUCUUUCAGCUGGGAAGAUAAUGACGGUACCAGCAGAAGAAGCCCCGGCUAACUCCGUGCCAGCAGCCGCGGUAAUACGGAGGGGGCUAGCGUUGUUCGGAAUUACUGGGCGUAAAGCGCACGUAGGCGGAUUGGAAAGUUGGGGGUGAAAUCCCGGGGCUCAACCCCGGAACUGCCUUCAAAACUCCCAGUCUUGAGGUCGAGAGAGGUGAGUGGAAUUCCGAGUGUAGAGGUGAAAUUCGUAGAUAUUCGGAGGAACACCAGUGGCGAAGGCGGCUCACUGGCUCGAUACUGACGCUGAGGUGCGAAAGCGUGGGGAGCAAACAGGAUUAGAAACCCCGGUAGUCC